UUAUUGUUUACAAAACUAGGAGCAAGGAAAUCGUAAAAUUGGGAAAAAGAAAAGGAGGGAUAUGUACGAUGAUGAUUUUGAUCAUGAUGACCUUGACAUCCUACCCCCCAAACUGCCAUUACCACUAAAGGAGUUGUGCCAAUGGGCCAAUACAUUCUUGAAGAAUGGGGUCACCAUCCAUACCAAGUUGGGCGAGGAAAUUUUCGGCCGCCCAAGAAAGGUAGCUAUCUUUAGAAGAGAUGUGUAUGCCAUGGCGCACAUGAAGGAGAUAUCUAACAACAUCAUUGAGAUGUAUAUGAGUUGCCUUUAUCAAAAGUUGCAGAAAUUUAAGAUGCUACACAUGAUUGCCUUCAUAGACCCUGCUCAGACAGGCGCGCUUGGGUGUGGGAAUCCAACAGAAAUGGCUCGUUCUCUAUCAGCUUGUUAUGCAAAAGGAAAGUCGGGUCAGAUUUUUUUGGUGUCCUAUAACUCAGGUUGUCAUUGAAUGUUAACGGCUGUGAACCCCGCUGAAGAAGUUGUGCAUUUCAUGGAUCCAUUAAAGAGACGACUCAUCACUGGUGAAUGAAAAACUAUUGUGGACAACUCAAUCAAAAUAUACAAUGCGUAAAAAACUAAGAAAGGCAGAAAAAUAGUUACAUGGAAAAAUUGUGUG
This is a long non-coding RNA of Rosa chinensis, 652 nucleotides long. RefSeq lists it as uncharacterized. The transcript is spliced from 4 exons. The record is from RefSeq and is a predicted model, not a curated record. NCBI's taxonomy places the organism in Eukaryota, Viridiplantae, Streptophyta, Magnoliopsida, Rosales, Rosaceae.